Molecule: ribosomal RNA, 938 nt
Filed under: uncultured bacterium
Lineage: Bacteria
Description: bacterial SSU rRNA
Rfam family: Bacterial small subunit ribosomal RNA
Source: RNAcentral
CGGCUAANUACGUGCCAGCAGCCGCGGUAAUACGUAGNUCCCGAGCGUUGUCCGGAUUUAUUGGGCGUAAAGCGAGCGCAGGCGGUUAGAUAAGUNUGAAGUUAAAGGCUGUGGCUUANCCAUAGUACGCUUUGGAAGCUGUUUAACUUGAGUGCAGAAGGGGAGAGUGGAAUUCCAUGUGUAGCGGUGAAAUGCGUAGAUAUAUGGAGGAACACCGGUGGCGAAAGCGGCUCUCUGGUCUGUAACCGACGCUGAGGCUCGAAAGCGUGGGGAGCGAACAGGAUUAGAUACCCUGGUAGUCCACGCCGUAAACGAUGAGUGCUAGGUGUUAGGCCCUUUCCGAGGCUUAGUGCCGCAGCUAACGCAUUAAGCACUCCGCCUGGGGAGUACGACCGCAAGGUUGAAACUCAAAGGAAUUGACGGGGGCCCGCACAAGCGGUGGAGCAUGUGGUUUAAUUCGAAGCAACGCGAAGAACCUUACCAGGUCUUGACAUCCCGAUGCCCGCUCUAGAGAUAGAGUUUUACUUCGGUACAUCGGUGACAGGUGGUGCAUGGUUGUCGUCAGCUCGUGUCGUGAGAUGUUGGGUUAAGUCCCGCAACGAGCGCAACCCUUAUUGUUAGUUGCCAUCAUUCAGUUGGGCACUCUAGCGAGACUGCCGGUAAUAAACCGGAGGAAGGUGGGGAUGACGUCAAAUCAUCAUGCCCCUUAUGACCUGGGCUACACACGUGCUACAAUGGCUGGUACAACGAGUCGCAAGUCGGUGACGGCAAGCUAAUCUCUUAAAGCCAGUCUCAGUUCGGAUUGUAGGCUGCAACUCGCCUACAUGAAGUCGGAAUCGCUAGUAAUCGCGGAUCAGCACGCCGCGGUGAAUACGUUCCCGGGCCUUGUACACACCGCCCGUCACACCACGAGAGUUUGUAACACCCGAAGUCGGUGA